AUUUAAAUAGCUUAUAAUUAGAGUGUAAUAUUGAAGAUAUUAAGGAGAUUGAUUAGGAUCUUUAAAUA
Molecule: transfer RNA, 68 nt
Filed under: Lethe satyrina
Lineage: Eukaryota; Metazoa; Arthropoda; Insecta; Lepidoptera; Nymphalidae
Description: tRNA-Phe
Source: RNAcentral